GAGGCAACUUCCAUCCUUUUGAUAUUACAUCCAUUUCUACUUCAUCCAACUAAAUCCUUGAUACCACCAUAAUAACUUACUUUAACUCUUUGCUGCUUUUUUACUAUUAGCAACAUACUAUGCUUAAUCUCUAUGUGGUUGUAACUAAGCAAGUACUUACUGAUCUUCAACAAUAUCCCCAUCCUCAUCUUGUACCUUCUAC
This 202-nucleotide long non-coding RNA is filed under the name Physcomitrium patens. RNAcentral's name for it is "long non-coding RNA (PPAT_LNC008498)". Lineage: Eukaryota; Viridiplantae; Streptophyta; Bryopsida; Funariales; Funariaceae. The record is from RNAcentral.